This 28-nucleotide non-coding RNA is filed under the name Rattus norvegicus (Norway rat). The record is from RNAcentral. Lineage: Eukaryota; Metazoa; Chordata; Mammalia; Rodentia; Muridae.
UGGCAGGAACUCCAAUGUCUAUGCAACU